Molecule: ribosomal RNA, 381 nt
Filed under: Triticum aestivum (bread wheat)
Lineage: Eukaryota; Viridiplantae; Streptophyta; Magnoliopsida; Poales; Poaceae
Description: partial small subunit ribosomal RNA
Source: RNAcentral
AUGACGAGGCAGACAGCCGCCCUCUUUGUGACCUGCUGCUAUUCCCCAUCUUGCACUGGCGGACUGAUGAUGCGGGAGCUGCCCUCUUCGCUACAACCCCAUAGCUGUUCAAAGUUCAGACUUACGUUUUGUGAAGGCAAGGACAAGGAGAAGCCUAUGGAUAACAGUUCGUGUGGAGCUUGGCCAGUUCCUCUGUUCAUGCUGAACUCCAAUACUUGCAUCCGCCACCCCAACGCCGGCGUGCUCCCUCAGUCCUCUCUCGACAAAUCCAACAGUACAGGUUCUCCGGUGCGCCAAGUAUUGCCUGCGGCGAUGCCUACAUCAUGGCCCAUUGAGGAGAUCUUGUGUAUUCGACAUAGAAGAAAUAUUGUCAGUUCAUGA